ACGUAGGGGGCAAGCGUUAUCCGGAUUUACUGGGUGUAAAGGGAGCGUAGACGGUUAUGUAAGUCUGAUGUGAAAACCCGGGGCUCAACCCCGGGACUGCAUUGGAAACUAUGUAACUAGAGUGUCGGAGAGGUAAGUGGAAUUCCUAGUGUAGCGGUGAAAUGCGUAGAUAUUAGGAGGAACACCAGUGGCGAAGGCGGCUUACUGGACGAUCACUGACGUUGAGGCUCGAAAGCGUGGGGAGCAAACAG
RNAcentral lists this ribosomal RNA (251 nucleotides) under uncultured bacterium. RNAcentral's name for it is "partial 16S ribosomal RNA". It matches the Rfam family "Bacterial small subunit ribosomal RNA", at positions 525 to 775 of the family's 1533-position model. The record is from RNAcentral.